GUGAAAUAGAACUAAAAUUUAGAUUUAUGAAAAUAUGAGUUUGUGCAACGUGGGACAUAAUUGGAGCUGGAGCUAGCAUGAUGGAGUCACCACAAUGAAGCAUGGCUUCUUUAAGGUAUGUGUUCUGCAGACUCUCUCCUUAAUAGUGGUAAUUCUUCAAGCAAGAAAAGAAUGAAUUCUCCUGCAUUCCAGUUCUGUACAGAAUAUAUUCAGUUUAAGAUGACAUUUGCCAAUUCUAAUUCUUUGGGAUGUUUUCACAACGGAGUUAGCUAUGGAACUGAAGUUUUGCUGGACGUAUACAAGACUAAAAUUCUGGGUAAAUAUGAAAAUUUGUCAGUGGUGUUGUGCUCCCACUCCCAGUGAUCAGCUGUGUCCCAGGGUCACUCCAGGUGAGAUCUCUUAGAGGUUGGGGGCCUUCAUCAGGGAUAACAUGAUGUUCAUGGGAGACCUUCUUCUGUUAUGAAUCCAUUUUGAGGUAUUCUUAUUCAUUUUCUAAUGGUCUGUUUCCUUGUUCCUUGUUCAUUCAUUCUCAGUUCUGCAUUAUACUUGUUUUUCUUUCUGUUCUGCUUCUUAUCACUAGCAUGUUUCACCUGACUUACAAACUCUGCCUAAAAGCAAUUGGCCAUCACAAUUUGUGCUUACCGUCUGGGGCCACCAGUAGUAACUUGUUCAUCUUUUAUUCUACACCAUAUUUUUCAAUCUAAUGUAAUAAAAAGUCUCAACAGAAUAUUUCUUACUACA
This 741-nucleotide long non-coding RNA is filed under the name Anas platyrhynchos platyrhynchos (common mallard). RNAcentral's name for it is "lncRNA (ENSAPLG00000025620.1)". The record is from RNAcentral. Lineage: Eukaryota; Metazoa; Chordata; Aves; Anseriformes; Anatidae.